CGGAGCUCCGCCCGCACGGCCCCGGGCGCGGAGGCUCCGCGGCGCUGGCCGGCACCCGCAGGUACCGCACGCUGCCCCCGGAGGAUGCCCGCGCCGGCGCGCCUCUGUUCGCUACGCGUAUCGGAAAGGGGCGAGGAGGAAAUUCCCCUUCCACCGUGUGCUCCCGGCAGGCCUGCUGCUCUCCGCGCUGCCAAAGGGAGAAAGGCGAUGUUGCGGAGGCCGCUGGAGGGUUCCCAGAGUCUCGCAGUUUCCGUCUCAGAAUUACAGUUGGACUUCUUGAGGUUUAUUUGGAGUGAGCCUUGAAGGAGCUCAGCGCACAGGCAGCGCGGGAUUCCCUCUUCCCACAUCCCCGGCCAGCCCUUUCCAGCUGAUGACUGUCUACAUGGGCUGCCCUUGUGCCCUCCCUGUGCUCCCCUCCUUCUGUCACUGUGUGCCCGCUCUCAGCUUUCCCCGUCUCCUCAUGAUUUCAGAGAAAUGUUUUCCCCCGCGCCAAGGAAAAAAAACAAACGUGAAACGCCCACAAAACCAAACAAAUUGCUGAUCUCGACAGGCGAAGCAGGUUCCCCAUUCCUGUUCACCUGCAGCCCGACUUUGGACUUUGUUAGUGAGCUGUGGGACCGCUCCGAGGGGACACCGGCACCGAGAGCCGCUGUCGGGAGAGGCAGCAAGCUACAGAUGAGAAGUUAUCCAGGGUGAGCUGAGGAAACAGUGCAGGAAAAUCUGAACCAAUUCUGCAGUCACAGAAAGGGCGUUGCAUUGCCAUGAACUACUCGGGCCAGUAACACGGUAGCCAAGAUCUCAGGCUCUAAUGUCCUAUAACAUACACUGCGCAAAUCCAAGCUUGGAAUGAGAGCCCUCACCCUGACACCAGUGCUAGCAUGUGAUUGAAAAAAAUAUUCUGCCUUCAAGAGUGCUUCUAUCAAAGAAUGGUCCUUUUGAGGCCCCUAAACAAGAAAACAGACUCAGGAGAAUUGAACAUGAAGUAAAGUGAAGGAAGAGAGAGACUAACAAGUGAGCUAUGACAGCAAAGAUUACUUUUGGGGGAAAGAAAUCAGCACAGGCAGAGGAAUGAAUGGACACAGAGGAAGAAAUAAUGACAGGAGAGAAAGGGAAGACACAGUAAAAGACACUACGGGAGAAGCCUGACGGAGAGGGGCUCGCGGAUGAGAGCGACAGAAAACUCCAUUUGCAGUCAAUAACAGCAUCCCUCACAGAGGACCUCUCCACUCAGUGACCUCUGAAGUUGCAAGGACACAUGGCCUAGACAGGAACUGCAUUGCCUUACUGACAGGCUUGGAGAUGGACAUUAUGGUUGAUUGUCUUACUCACUCAUCUUCCACAGUGAAGGCAUACAGCAAUGAUCAGUAAG
Long non-coding RNA from Haemorhous mexicanus (house finch), 1369 nucleotides. RefSeq lists it as uncharacterized. The record is from RefSeq and is a predicted model, not a curated record. Lineage: Eukaryota; Metazoa; Chordata; Aves; Passeriformes; Fringillidae. The transcript has 4 exons.